This 2299-nucleotide long non-coding RNA is filed under the name Homo sapiens (human). RNAcentral describes it as "HSALNT0004811". The record is from RNAcentral. Lineage: Eukaryota; Metazoa; Chordata; Mammalia; Primates; Hominidae.
GGGGAUUCUUACAGGAUUUGUGGGGAGUUUUCAGUUUGGUUUGAUUUGUGGUAGUGGUGCCUCAGUUGAUGAUGUUGUUUUUCUAGGGUUGAUUUUUGGGGAAGGGAACCUGUAGCAUACGCUAGUUCACUGUCUUAAUAGGAUCCAAAGCCCCAGUGUAUCUUGUCUUUUUAUUUUCAGUCUAUGUGAUGCUUUAGUUGUCUGUCCUGUAAAUAGAGAUUUACAAUUAAACCCAGUCUGUUAAGUUCUGUUUGGUGGUAGUGGUUUUGUCGUUAACAUCCAAUCUGAAAACUAAUGCCUAUUAAGUGGUCACAUUUUUCAUGCUGAUUUUUUUUCCCUCCCUUCCUGCUGAUGGGUUGGUUGAAAUCUUUUAAUUUUUUUCUUUCCUUGUCUGGUUUAGAUGUUCUACAUUCUAGUUCUGAAUUUUCAGUGGCUUUCUCAAUGUUUUUAAGAUGAAUGCCUGACUUUCUCAAAUGAGUAUUUCUACCAUCGUCCUAUGGAAAGACUAGGUUACAGUCAUCACCCCAUCCCCAUCUUAUAUGUUACAGUUCAGUAUUUUCAUUCCAUCUCUUUAUUCUCUCCCCAAGUAGCACUCCCUGGGAACUUCCUAGGCCAGGUUCCAUUGGAGGAUUUGUGUGGGAGAAACCAGCAGCGACCAGAUCUGCCAUCUCCCUCCCCGCCUUAACUGGCGUUUUCCUUUGAGAAACCACCUCUGUCACAUCCCUGGGCUGGUCAGAUUGUGUCCCCCUCCUGUGCUCCUGGAACCUCUCCGCAUGCCUAUGUUGAUGUUUGUCAGGCUCUGUGUUCAUCAUGGGCACACUUCAAAGGGCAUCCCAGUUCCUGUGGUGGAGACUAGGGAUAGGAUGAUGGGUAAGUUGACAUUGGUGGUUUUGAAAUGCUGAAGUUUAUAUUGCUUUCCCAAAUAAGAGUAUGGUAUUUGGUAUUUCCAAAGAGUACCAUGUUUAAAAGUGCCUCGUGCUUUUAAGAGAGAUAGCUUGGGAUUUCUGAGAUAAGAUAGGAAUAAAGUGGUGUGCACUGGUCGCUCCUGAAAACAGCCAUGUUUAUGGUUUCUGUGGUUUCUCUACUGCUGUCCCUUAAUCACUGAUGGAACAUACAGAUUAUGGGUAGCAAGACAGGAACUGUUUUCAUCUGACGCUAUUGAAACUCGUGUGUUUGUUUUAUUUCUACGUAACAGAAUCAGAAUGAGAAACUUCUGAGGCAUUUACUCCCAGAUCAUGUAGCUCACGUAAGAUGUUUUAAUAUCUGUGCUGUGUUAGAGGUAAGAGUGUUGCAAAACAGAAGUUAUGGGUCUAGCCUCAUGAACUUGCAAGCGGCUUGGAGGACACUCCUUGGCAGAUUCGAGACCUCCCUUUACUAAACUUACUUCUUUCACCCUCACUCAGGAUGGGACAUGUGCUGGUUCCUAUUCAUGCGGCAUUGACUGUGCUUCUAGGCCAGAGGUUCUAAAGGGAGGCCCAGGACCAGCGCAUCAGCAUCUCCUGGGAACCUGUUAGAAAGGCAAAUUCUUAUGUCCUCCCCCUUCCCCAGACCUACUGAAUUAGAAACCCAGCAACCUGUCUGAAGAAGCCUCUCGUCUUGAGGUUGGAGACUGCUGCAGAGCGAGCAAGGCUCUGCCGGGCCUGAGUUCUCCUCUGUCACCAUGUGUGUAGAUUAAGUUACUUCAUCUCACUAUGCCUUGGCUCUCGAUCUGUAAAAACAGCCACUGCUGCCCUCCUGCAGCAGGGUUUUGUGCCCAGGGCCCUGGAGGGAGCAUGAGCUCAGUGGUCCUUCCGUCCUCCCUGUCUUGGGAGUGCUAGGCUGUGCACCAGCCCUCCCAAGCCACAUACCCAGCAAAGUGCUCUGUGAACUAGGUACAGUCAACACAUUUGGGGGCAUGUGGCCAACCUCUACUAUUUGGGAACACCAAAGGGAAGAUGAGUGGUCAAAAUUUCUAAAGCCACACCCUGGACUUUAGGACACUCUGUGUCUCCCCAGCUUGGUCACAGGUGGACAUGAUCAUUUUUGUGUUAACAAAAGAUAUGGGAAGAAGGGACAUCAACCCUCCUCCCUUAAAGCCAGCAGGGGUACUGGGGUGGUGCACUCCCACCCACCAGUGGCAGGCAGGGCCCAGCACCACUGCUUGCAUGUGCUGAUGCCAGGCCCAAAACUUCCUUGCCAGAGGACACGACCUCACAGGGCUGCCCAGGGGGUGGGAGCUGUGCACGGGUCCGAGACGUAGCGUGAAGCAGCACACCCAGCAGACAGAGUGCACAGUUAAAUACCAUGUUUAAUCAUCCCA